Long non-coding RNA from Canis lupus familiaris (dog), 692 nucleotides. RefSeq lists it as uncharacterized. The transcript has 4 exons. The record is from RefSeq and is a predicted model, not a curated record. Lineage: Eukaryota; Metazoa; Chordata; Mammalia; Carnivora; Canidae.
AGGAAAGACUGCUUGCCCAUGAAACAUACUUGUUUUUCAUAUGUGACUUCUCUGACCAUUAACUGGAAGACUAGAUGUCCUUGCUUUUCCAAGCUGCUUGGAUCUAUCGCAUACAUUGCCUGCCCUCCAGGUGCUUGACAGAGAGAAAAUCCUGAAAUGCUCAAGAGGAACAAUAUUUGUAGAAAUUCCUGAAAAUCAAGCAUUUAUUCAACAUUGAGCAAAUGUUUGCAUGCUUACUGUGUGGAGUACAAGAGUCACGGAAAAAGCAAGGACAAACUACGUUUAAUAUUCUGGUGGAGCAAUAGGAUGUGACUACAAAUACUAUUCAGAAUAAAUCUGGCUUUAUUUAAAGAAAAACAAACUAAAACCUACCCCAAAUACCUCAGACUGGAAUAUUUUAUCUUUGCUUCUGGCAUGAAAAUGAUGGUUGCUAAGAGAUCCAGAGAAGUGAAAAGAAAAAUGAGACAAAGGAGGCUGAAAUAAUGUUUGCCUGGUUACUCGGAACACCAUGCAGGUACUUUGGCUUUCUUUGCCUUCCUCUUCGUACUUUUUAACAAACUGGAGAUGUUUUUUUAAACUUCUUAGUGAAUAUAAAUAUCACCAUUGUGCUACUGACCUAUUUAUAUCCCCUGGAUAUUUCUAACUGAAUCAUGACAUUCAAAAUAUAUUAAAUUUUAAAUGUUUCCAGUAUC